Molecule: non-coding RNA, 776 nt
Organism: Peromyscus maniculatus bairdii (prairie deer mouse)
Lineage: Eukaryota; Metazoa; Chordata; Mammalia; Rodentia; Cricetidae
Source: RefSeq, a predicted model, not a curated record
CAUACAAUAGGACAAGUAACUAACCAGAAUAAGGAUUCAAUCACCGAGGUGUUGCUAUGGGAUACAGAUGAGGAGUUAACGGGGCCAACCAAAGGCAGCUCUGCAGCAUAAAGCAGGGCAUCCAGAUACUCUGGAAAAGAAUGGGCAGGGACACACACAUACAGCAUGCUCAACGAACGACACAGAGCAGUUCAUGAGGAGCAGAAAGGGCCGUGACAACUCGGUGCGUCAGUCAGGUGGUGAGACGGACAUGGCCAUAGGCUUGGACACCAAGAGAGCUGUCCAGCGACAGGCACCAUGGGAGGCGUCCGGGUCACAUGUGUUCACUGCUCAGCACUGCACAUAGGAAGACUUGAAGCAGCAAAUCAGAAGCAAGAAACAGGACGUGGCUUCUGUAAUGACUGAGAAGCACAGUAAUAGGAAACUGAGAGCACAAUAAGACAAGAGAUGUAGUCAAGGUUUAAGUCACCAGAUACAGUCCACUGCAGUCUGGCUAGAGUACUAUUUCUAAUACAGAGAAAUACUUCAAAUCUUAUUUCCUCUGAGGUGUGGAAAAACUGAGGCCGAAAGAGGAGAAUAAAUAUGGAAAGUCAAAACAGAUGUGCAGCCCAGAGCCACGGCCCCGUCUUCUGGCGCUGGAAGGGGGUCACUGCGCCGCUAAGUGGAAAAUGACAGAGCACGGCUUUGGGGCGGCCAGCCUAGGACGCAGUUGGAGGUCUCGCCCGCGAGGCACUGAGAUGGAUGUGGUGGGACCCGGAACACUGUGGGAAGGUGCG